Camellia sinensis is the source of this 880-nucleotide non-coding RNA. The record is from RefSeq and is a predicted model, not a curated record. Lineage: Eukaryota; Viridiplantae; Streptophyta; Magnoliopsida; Ericales; Theaceae.
AAAGGCAUUACAUCCUAAAAAAGGGGUUGGGAACAUGUAUUAUUUGCCGCCUGCAUGUUUUGCUAUGAACAAUAGAGAGAGAGGUUUGUUUUGUACACUCUUGAAGAAUAUCAAAGUUCCAGAUGGGUAUGCAUCCAAUAUUUCUCGUCGUGUUAACCUCAAACAACAUAGCCUGUGAUCUUGAAAACAGCUUUUGAAAUAUAGAGUUUCAGUCUUCAGUCAUCUGGCAUGGCACAAUAUAUAGUCACAAAGUUGCCAAUUAUUUGCAGGUCAAUACAGAUGCCGAUGAGUCAAUGAAGAAAUUUGUUUUGGCAUCUGUUGGCAAAAAAUGGAGAGAGUGGAAGGCUAGAGUUAAACAAAUGGGGUAUACGCCAUUCGACAACGAUGCUGAUAGGUUAACUCAUUGACCCAAAAGAGUACAUGAGCAUCAAUGGCGAAGCUUAGUCUAUUAUUGGGGCACUCGAAAGGCACAGAAAAAAAGUACAAAAAACAAAGAAAUUCGGAAGAAGAAGACAUUAAAUCACAUAACUGGCAGAAAACCAUUCUCAGUUGUUCGAGUAGAGGAAACUAAUAAGAAGAAAAGAGUUCCUGCAACUCGCUUAGAGGUGUGGAUGGCUGGGUACUCGAAGGAUAACAAACCAAGUAAUGAUAAAGUUGCUGAGGUCAUGACACAAAUGAAGGAUCUUGGGGCGCAAUCCAAUGCUACAGAUGAAGAAAUUAUCACACAGGUUCUAGGGCCUGAGCGACCUGGUCGUGUUCGAAUAUAUGGAUUGGGUCCUUCUUCGACAGAUGUCUUUGGAGGCGGAUAUAGGCAAUCGCAAGAACAAACUCGUAUCAUCCAAAUGCAAGUCCAAGAGCAACUUAACCAAUAUAAAGCACA